Molecule: ribosomal RNA, 416 nt
Filed under: uncultured bacterium
Lineage: Bacteria
Description: partial 16S ribosomal RNA
Source: RNAcentral
ACUAGGUUGGUACUUCGCACGUCCUUCUCCCGGGAUACCCAAUUUUUUCAAACCCUCCCCUUCUUUGUGGGGGUGUCCACCCUUUAACUGCCCUGGCAUUCUUAUUCGUAGCCGAUUGAGGCACGGUCGUCGGCGCCAUUAUGCCUCCUACGUUCGCAAUAGGCCUUAGUAACCCAAAUUUCCCAGGCAUCCGCCUGUUAAUUCAGUCUCCACUUUAACACCUCGAGUUGGCAUCUUGACGGAAACUUUGACCAACAGAACUUAGCAACACUUCACCAAUCUUACUCGUCACAUCGCCACUUUACGAAUCUCUAUCGAGUCUUAUGGCUAACGCUUCCGUCUAGUGAUUGUUGCAUAACUGCGACUCCCUGCUUUCGCACCCCUCGCUUGUCCUAAUCUAUGGGACCAUCAGGUGC